Molecule: long non-coding RNA, 886 nt
Organism: Panicum virgatum (switchgrass)
Lineage: Eukaryota; Viridiplantae; Streptophyta; Magnoliopsida; Poales; Poaceae
Exons: 2
Source: RefSeq, a predicted model, not a curated record
CGCCACUCGCCCCUAUUAAACGGCGGCACCGUCAGAAUCCCCGUUCGCCACUCGCUCCCCAUCGAACCAAAGCUAGUUCCAUUCCAUGGCGCGCUGCAUCGCGCUUGUCAUCGUCGCCGCCUUCUGGGCCGCGUUCGGCGGCCUCGAUUCCCACGAGGCCUUCCUCGCCUCUCGGACUCGCAGCCAGGCCCCCGCCGGUCACGGGGCUGCCGCCACCGCCGCCGCCGCUGGAGCCUUCCUCCUGGCCAUCGUGGCAACCUUCACGCUCGCUUCGGCGCUCCUGCUGGCGCACGUCCGCGCGCUCGGUGCCCACCCCCACGCGGCCGGCCCCGGUGGAGCGGAGCACGGCUUCGCCACGGGCCGCCUCGCUGCGGCGACGCUCGCCGCAGCCGCGGCGGUCCUUAGCCUCGGAGCCGUGCUGCGCCUCGUUGCGUAGGCUGACGGCGGGUCGGCUCCAGUCUCCAGACUGAGUCCAGAUGAAAUGCCUAUUUGCUUGCUCCCAGAGGAGAUGGAGAAUCUGGAGACCCACCACAGUACAGAGACCCACCACAGUAGACAGUACCAAGGAUACGUAUCACUCUCCUGCAUUUUUAGUAUGGUUAGUUGGACUGGUCAGGUUUGCUGCUCUUCAGCCUCGUCCUGGGAGGAGCUGUCAGUUGCUUUGGUUGCAUAAUGGGCAGUUUCAAGUACUUCAGGUGCCAUUUUCAGCUUCGUCCUAGGAGCAGUCAAGUUUUUUGGCUGUGUUUCUUUACGCCUUGUAAAUAUAUAUGGAUUGGAUUUCAUUGGAUUAUUGUAGGAUCUGUACUGGCUAAGAUCCUGCAGAGUUUUGAUGAAAAUUCCAAUAUUAUUAAUUGUGUUUUCUGCCUGAAAAUCGUUAUGCUGUGAA